CCUACGGGUGGCAGCAGUCGAGAAUCAUUCACAAUGGGGGAAACCCUGAUGGUGCGACGCCGCGUGGGGGAAUGAAGGUCUUCGGAUUGUAAACCCCUGUCAUGUGGGAGCAAAUUAAAAAGAUAGUACCACAAGAGGAAGAGACGGCUAACUCUGUGCCAGCAGCCGCGGUAAUACAGAGGUCUCAAGCGUUGUUCGGAAUCACUGGGCGUAAAGCGUGCGUAGGCUGUUUCGUAAGUCGUGUGUGAAAGGUGCGGGCUCAACCCGCGGACGGCACAUGAUACUGCGAGACUAGAGUAAUGGAGGGGGAACCGGAAUUCUCGGUGUAGCAGUGAAAUGCGUAGAUAUCGAGAGGAACACUCAUGGCGAAGGCGGGUUCCUGGACAUUAACUGACGCUGAGGCACGAAGGCCAGGGGAGCGAAAGGGAUUAGAUACCCGUGUAGUC
RNAcentral lists this ribosomal RNA (446 nucleotides) under uncultured bacterium. RNAcentral's name for it is "partial 16S ribosomal RNA". It matches the Rfam family "Bacterial small subunit ribosomal RNA", at positions 338 to 795 of the family's 1533-position model. The record is from RNAcentral.